GACGAACGCUGGCGGCGUGCUUAACACAUGCAAGUCGAGCGGUAAGGCCCUUUCGGGGGUACACGAGCGGCGAACGGGUGAGUAACACGUGGGUGACCUGCCCUCAGCUCUGGGAUAAGCCUGGGAAACCGGGUCUAAUACCGGAUAUGACUCCAUGACGCAUGUUGUGGGGUAGAAAGCCUUGUGCGGCUGAGGAUCGGGCCCGCGGCCUAUCAGUCUUGGUUGGGUGGGGUGAUGGCCUACCAAGGCGACGACGGGUAGCCGGCCUGAGAGGGCGACCGGCCACACUGGGACUGAGA
RNAcentral lists this ribosomal RNA (299 nucleotides) under uncultured bacterium. RNAcentral describes it as "partial 16S ribosomal RNA". It matches the Rfam family "Bacterial small subunit ribosomal RNA", at positions 28 to 324 of the family's 1533-position model. The record is from RNAcentral.